Molecule: ribosomal RNA, 747 nt
Filed under: uncultured bacterium
Lineage: Bacteria
Description: partial 16S ribosomal RNA
Rfam family: Bacterial small subunit ribosomal RNA
Source: RNAcentral
GGCCGCGAAUUCGCCCUUAGGGUUUGAUUAUGGCUCAGGACGAACGCUGGCGGCGUGCCUAAUACAUGCAAGUCGAGCGAUGAUUAAAGAUAGCUUGCUAUUUUUAUGAAGAGCGGCGAACGGGUGAGUAACGCGUGGGAAAUCUGCCGAGUAGCGGGGGACAACGUUUGGAAACGAACGCCAAUACCGCAUAACAAUGAGAAUCGCAUGAUUCUUAUUUAAAAGAAGCAAUUGCUUCACUACUUGAUGAUCCCGCGUUGUAUUAGCUAGUUGGUAGUGUAAAGGACUACCAAGGCGAUGAUACAUAGCCGACCUGAGAGGGUGAUCGGCCACACUGGGACUGAGACACGGCCCAGACUCCUACGGGAGGCAGCAGUAGGGAAUCUUCGGCAAUGGGGGCAACCCUGACCGAGCAACGCCGCGUGAGUGAAGAAGGUUUUCGGAUCGUAAAACUCUGUUGUUAGAGAAGAACGUUAAGUAGAGUGGAAAAUUACUUAAGUGACGGUAUCUAACCAGAAAGGGACGGCUAACUACGUGCCAGCAGCCGCGGUAAUACGUAGGUCCCAAGCGUUGUCCGGAUUUAUUGGGCGUAAAGCGAGCGCAGGUGGUUUCUUAAGUCUGAUGUAAAAGGCAGUGGCUCAACCAUUGUGUGCAUUGGAAACUGGGAGACUUGAGUGCAGGANAGGAGAGUGGAAUUCCAUGUGUAGCGGUGAAAUGCGUAGAUAUAUGGAGGAACACCGGAGGCGA